This 207-nucleotide ribosomal RNA is filed under the name uncultured bacterium. Its description in RNAcentral is "partial 16S ribosomal RNA". It matches the Rfam family "Bacterial small subunit ribosomal RNA", at positions 568 to 774 of the family's 1533-position model. The record is from RNAcentral.
AGCGUAGACGGCAAGGCAAAUCUGAUGUGAAAACCCAGGGCUUAACCCUGGGACUGCAUUGGAAACUGUCUGGCUCGAGUGCCGGAGAGGUAAGCGGAAUUCCUAGUGUAGCGGUGAAAUGCGUAGAUAUUAGGAAGAACACCAGUGGCGAAGGCGGCUUACUGGACGGUAACUGACGUUGAGGCUCGAAAGCGUGGGGAGCAAACA